This 366-nucleotide ribosomal RNA is filed under the name uncultured Geobacteraceae bacterium. RNAcentral's name for it is "bacterial SSU rRNA". It matches the Rfam family "Bacterial small subunit ribosomal RNA", at positions 466 to 831 of the family's 1533-position model. The record is from RNAcentral. Lineage: Bacteria; Pseudomonadati; Thermodesulfobacteriota; Desulfuromonadia; Geobacterales; Geobacteraceae.
GGUUUGACGGUACCUUUAAAGGAAGCACCGGCUAACUCCGUGCCAGCAGCCGCGGUAAUACGGGGGGUGCAAGCGUUGUUCGGAAUUAUUGGGCGUAAGGCGCGUGUAGGCGGUCUGAUUAGUCUGAUGUGAAAGCCCUGGGCUCAACCCAGGAAGUGCAUUGGAUACUGUCAGACUUGAAUACGGGAGAGGGUAGUGGAAUUCCUAGUGUAGGAGUGAAAUCCGUAGAUAUUAGGAGGAACACCGGUGGCGAAGGCGGCUACCUGGACCGAUAUUGACGCUGAGACGCAAAAGCGUGGGUAGCAAACAGGAUUAGAUACCCUGGUAGUCCACGCCGUAAACGAUGAGAACUAGGUGUCGCGGGUA